Molecule: ribosomal RNA, 448 nt
Filed under: uncultured bacterium
Lineage: Bacteria
Description: bacterial SSU rRNA
Rfam family: Bacterial small subunit ribosomal RNA
Source: RNAcentral
UCGAGAAUUUUUCUCAAUGGGGGAAACCCUGAAGGAGCGACGCCGCGUGGAGGAUGAAGGUCUUCGGAUUGUAAACUCCUGUCAUUUGGGAACAAUUGUCACGCGUUAACUGCGCGGGACUUGAUAGUACCAGAAGAGGAAGAGACGGCUAACUCUGUGCCAGCAGCCGCGGUAAUACAGAGGUCUCAAGCGUUGUUCGGAUUCAUUGGGCGUAAAGGGUGCGUAGGCGGCGGGGUAAGUCGGAUGUGAAAUCCCGGGGCUCAACCCCGGAACUGCAUUCGAUACUGCCCUGCUCGAGUGCUGGAGAGGAGACUGGAAUUUACGGUGUAGCAGUGAAAUGCGUAGAUAUCGUAAGGAAGACCAGUGGCGAAGGCGAGUCUCUGGACAGUUACUGACGCUGAGGCACGAAGGCCAGGGGAGCAAACGGGAUUAGAUACCCGGGUAGUCC